RNAcentral lists this ribosomal RNA (253 nucleotides) under uncultured bacterium. RNAcentral's name for it is "partial 16S ribosomal RNA". It matches the Rfam family "Bacterial small subunit ribosomal RNA", at positions 524 to 776 of the family's 1533-position model. The record is from RNAcentral.
GACAGAGGGUGCAAACGUUGCUCGGAAUUACUGGGCGUAAAGCGCGUGUAGGCGGGCCCACAAGUCGGACGUGAAAUCCCUGAGCUCAACUCAGGAACUGCAUCCGAAACUGUGGGCCUGGAGUGGUGGAGAGGGAAGCAGAAUUCCUGGUGUAGAGGUGAAAUUCGUAGAUAUCAGGAGGAACACCGGUGGCGAAGGCGGCUUCCUGGACACUUACUGACGCUGAGACGCGAAAGCGUGGGGAGCAAACAGG